Molecule: ribosomal RNA, 372 nt
Filed under: uncultured bacterium
Lineage: Bacteria
Description: bacterial SSU rRNA
Rfam family: Bacterial small subunit ribosomal RNA
Source: RNAcentral
GGAGGGUGCAAGCGUUAAUCGGAAUUACUGGGCGUAAAGCGCACGCAGGCGGUUUGUUAAGUCAGAUGUGAAAUCCCCGGGCUCAACCUGGGAACUGCAUCUGAUACUGGCAAGCUUGAGUCUCGUAGAGGGGGGUAGAAUUCCAGGUGUAGCGGUGAAAUGCGUAGAGAUCUGGAGGAAUACCGGUGGCGAAGGCGGCCCCCUGGACGAAGACUGACGCUCAGGUGCGAAAGCGUGGGGAGCAAACAGGAUUAGAUACCCUGGUAGUCCACGCCGUAAACGAUGUCGACUUGGAGGUUGUGCCCUUGAGGCGUGGCUUCCGGAGCUAACGCGUUAAGUCGACCGCCUGGGGAGUACGGCCGCAAGGUUAAA